Long non-coding RNA from Gallus gallus (chicken), 1892 nucleotides. The record is from Ensembl. Lineage: Eukaryota; Metazoa; Chordata; Aves; Galliformes; Phasianidae.
AUCUCCAACUGGAGAUCCUUCCUCUUGGAGCCCUUCUGUGAGCCCAGGACAUAAGGACAAGUGAAUAGAAACUUAUAAACAAGGAGAAAAUGCUUCAAUUCUUGCUUUCCUCAGGUCACCAAAUUAUAUGCAGUUUCCAAACAUAUCAUUUUCCUUCUCCUGAAUUGACCUGCCAGUAAGCAGCUUGGCAGUUUACUGAGACCAACAAAAGCUGCCUGCAUCUUAAUAAGAGAAUCACCAGAUCCCAAGAAAGGACAAACCAUUCCAUACUAUCAGAUAUGAUACAAAUUUCUCAAAUGAAAAAGUUUUAAAACAUUGCAGUUCUCCUCUUCAUUGCUGGCGGAGACCCAACAGUCGAACCAAUACUGUGAUAACUUUGACUGAAGUUCCUGCCAAGGAGAUUAUGAAGUGCACUUUGGGACCUGAGCUGAAACAAUGCCCAUCCCAUGAAUCCAAAGAAGCAGAUGAAAGCAGAGGACCUGUACGCACACUAAAGCUACAGUUUACUAUGAAGAAACUGCUCAGUCUCCCACAGUCAUAGAACCAUUGGAGUUUGGAGGGGACCUUCAAAGAUCUUCUAGUCCAACUCCUCUGCAAUGAACAGGGACACCUACAGCUUGAUCAGUUUGCUCAGAGUCCUGUCCAACCUGACCUUGAAUGUCUCCAAGGACAAAGCAUCCACCACUUCUCUGGGCAACAUCACUACCCUUACUGUAAAAACGUUUUUCUUAUAUCCAAUCCAAUGACAAAAUCAUUGACAAAGUAUCUUGCCGCUACAUGUGUAUAGGGACACAUAAAAUCUCAAGUAACAUAUGAAACAUUGUUUGUGGAAAAUAUAAUCAUCCAUCACCUAAAGGUCUACUUUUUGGCGCACUUAGAACCAACAACUCUUGCAUCUUACUCUAGUCAGCUUCAAUGCAUUUGCAGUUGCAGACACAUAAGACUGUGCCUCUGUCCUAGUAAAGAUCAAGAGUAAACAACAAUAAUAAGUGAUAACAAACCCUGGAAUCGCAGGCAUCAGCCGAGUGCAGCUUCUUUCUCCCAGCCAGGAGUCUGUUCAUGUGUGUUCAAGGUCAGCUCUGAUACAGUGCAACAGUGAACAAACUUGUAUGAGAAAGAAUUAUGAGCAGUCAUAGAAUCAUAAAAUCAUAGGCAUCAUCAUAGUCAUCUAGGGUCUGGGAGCUGCUUUUAGGCACAGGUUCCUACCACUGGUCCCUUAAGCCAUGUUGCAUUUAUAGCUGCACACAGAUGUCUAUCUUGAUUACUUGAGUUAGAUUUGUACUCCACUGUGUUUCUCUACAUUAUCUUCCUGGGUUUUGGCUACCAUGAUGAAAUAAGUCUUUGCAAAAAAGUUCAUCUCACAAAGGAACCCCUACUGGGAAUUUCCUUCCCAGUGCAGUUCUUUAGGAAGUCUAGUUUUUCAGUGAACGGAGUUUGAGUACAUGGACAUCUACUGGAGUUACAACAUCAUGUAAUGGAUGCAGUUCAGUGUCGCUUGGGCGUAAAAUUUACAACUUUGUACGAUCAGAUAAGGAUUCAUUUUUACAGGAGGCCUCUUUUUAUGCUAUUUUUGACUGUGAAAUUAAGUUAUAAAAUAGAAUCAGAACUCCAUCUUAUUAGAAGCUAUACAGCAUUCUUAUCCUGAAGGAGUCACAGUUGUGUUUGGAUGAAUCUUUGACUUUGAAAAGGACACAGCAGUUAUUUUGUGGUUCCAAGUGAAAAUUUUCUCGAUCUUAUCAUUGAAUGAGAAAUAGUAAAAAUUUGUAAUGCAGAAAAUGCUGCUAUAAUUAUAUGAGCUAUAAUUUAGAACCAGAACAAUAUAUAAUCACAUAAACCUGUGGAAGAAGAAUUUUCUGACAAACGUCUCAUUUCAUCAAAUAAAGAAAUUAAGG